This 911-nucleotide non-coding RNA is filed under the name Similiparma lurida (Canary damselfish). RNAcentral's name for it is "partial 12S ribosomal RNA". It matches the Rfam family "Bacterial small subunit ribosomal RNA". The record is from RNAcentral. Lineage: Eukaryota; Metazoa; Chordata; Actinopteri; Pomacentridae.
CACAAAGGCUUGGUCCUGACUUUACUGUCAGCUUUAACUAGAUUUACACAUGCAAGUAUCCGCACCCCUGUGCGAAUGCCCCACAGCUCUCCCCCCGAGAACGAGGAGCUGGUAUCAGGCACAGUUUAAUACUAGCCCAUAACACCUUGCUUAGCCACACCCCUACGGGAAUUCAGCAGUGAUAGACAUUAAGCCAUAAGUGAAAACUUGACUUAGUUAAGGCUAAGAGAGCCGGUAAAACUCGUGCCAGCCACCGCGGUUAUACGAGAGGCUCAAGCUGACAGACAACGGCGUAAAGAGUGGUUAAGGGACCACCCAAACUAAAGUCGAAACCCCUCAAAACUGUUAUACGUACCCGAAGGCAAGAAGCUCCACCACGAAAGUGACUUUACCCCCCCCCCGACCCCACGAAAGCUGUGACACAAACUGGGAUUAGAUACCCCACUAUGCCCAGCCAUAAACUUUGAUAGACCCUUACACCCACUAUCCGCCCGGGUACUACGAGCACCAGCUUAAAACCCAAAGGACUUGGCGGUGCUUUAGAUCCCCCUAGAGGAGCCUGUCCUAGAACCGAUAAUCCCCGUUUAACCUCACCCUCCUUUGUUUCUUUCCGCCUAUAUACCGCCGUCGUCAGCUUACCCUGUGAAGGUCUGAUAGUAAGCGAAAUUGGUUCAGCCCAAAACGCCAGGUCGAGGUGUAGCGGAUAAGAGGGGAAGAGAUGGGCUACAUUUCCUGCCCCAGGAAACACGGAUAAUGCACUGAAACGCACAUUUGAAGGAGGAUUUAGCAGUAAGUAGAAAAUAGAGUGUUCUACUGAAACUGGCCCUAAAGCGCGCACACACCGCCCGUCACUCUCCCCAACCCAACAUAAAAACCUAUACCUAAAAAUCCACGCCCAAAAAGGGGAGGCA